GACGAACGCUGGCGGCGUGCUUAACACAUGCAAGUCGAACGGAAAGGCCCGGCUUUUGUGGGGUGCUCGAGUGGCGAACGGGUGAGUAACACGUGAGUAACCUGCCCUUGACUUUGGGAUAACUUCAGGAAACUGGGGCUAAUACCGGAUAGGAGCUCCUGCUGCAUGUGGGGGGUUGGAAAGUUUCGGCGGUUGUGGAUGGACUCGCGGGUUAUCAGCUUGUUUGUGGGGUAGGUGCGUACCAAGGGUUUGACGGGUAGCCGGCCUGGGAGGGUGAACGGGCACAUUGGGACUGAGAUACGGACCAGACUCCUACGGGCGGCAGCAGUGGGGAGUAUUGCAGAAUGGGCGGAAGCCUGAUGCAGCAACGCCGCGUGCGGGAUGACGGCUUUCGGGUUGUAAACAGAUUUCGACUGUGCCGAAGCGUGCGUGACGGUAAUGGGUCAAGAAGCACCGGCUAACUACGUG
This 468-nucleotide ribosomal RNA is filed under the name uncultured bacterium. RNAcentral's name for it is "partial 16S ribosomal RNA". It matches the Rfam family "Bacterial small subunit ribosomal RNA", at positions 28 to 507 of the family's 1533-position model. The record is from RNAcentral.